CCUACGGGUGGCUGCAGUGGGGAAUAUUGGACAAUGGGCGAAAGCCUGAUCCAGCCAUGCCGCGUGUGUGAAGAAGGCCUUCGGGUUGUAAAGCACUUUCAGUGGGGAAGAAAGCCUUGGGGCUAAUACCCUCGAGAAAGGACAUCACCCACAGAAGAAGCACCGGCUAACUCCGUGCCAGCAGCCGCGGUAAUACGGAGGGUGCGAGCGUUAAUCGGAAUUACUGGGCGUAAAGCGCGCGUAGGCGGUCUGAUAAGCCGGUUGUGAAAGCCCCGGGCUCAACCUGGGAACGGCAUCCGGAACUGUCAGGCUAGAGUGCAGGAGAGGAAGGUAGAAUUCCCGGUGUAGCGGUGAAAUGCGUAGAGAUCGGGAGGAAUACCAGUGGCGAAGGCGGCCUUCUGGACUGACACUGACGCUGAGGUGCGAAAGCGUGGGUAGCAAACAGGAUUAGAUACCCGUGUAGUC
This 465-nucleotide ribosomal RNA is filed under the name Vreelandella stevensii. Its description in RNAcentral is "partial 16S ribosomal RNA". It matches the Rfam family "Bacterial small subunit ribosomal RNA", at positions 338 to 795 of the family's 1533-position model. Lineage: Bacteria; Pseudomonadati; Pseudomonadota; Gammaproteobacteria; Oceanospirillales; Halomonadaceae. The record is from RNAcentral.